This is a long non-coding RNA of Pezoporus occidentalis (night parrot), 1394 nucleotides long. RefSeq lists it as uncharacterized. The record is from RefSeq and is a predicted model, not a curated record. Lineage: Eukaryota; Metazoa; Chordata; Aves; Psittaciformes; Psittacidae. The transcript is spliced from 3 exons.
AAAAAAAAGAUGCACAGGAAGUGUGGGGGUUGGAAGAGAAGAAAACUCUCUUGCUGGGGAUGGGUGAUGGUUAAGAGCAGCCAUAGUCACAGUGAGAUGGUCUGAAGUGUAGAGAGGAUCUGUGAUCUGCAGGAUCUUGGAGAGGCCCAGGGAAUGCUCUGUGAAGGUCACUGUACCAGACAGAUGCAGCCUUCUUAAACCAAGAAAUUAUACCUUGGCACUUGUAUCCUUCAGUUCCAUAGAGAAAUGGAAUCGCUGCAUUAGAUGCAACGUGUGUGAAACAGAAAAUAGCUAAAAUUAAUGAAGAGAAGCCUAACAGAACAUGAGCUAAAUCUGCCAGUAAAUACUACAUGAGUGAAAUAAGUGGCUGGAGGGAUGCUGCUUGUAUUUUGGAAAACUGAAAACUUAGCAAUGGCUCUUUAGUAUAAGUGGAAAAUGACACUGGGAGAUCAAGGGUUUUCAGUAGUUAUCUGCAGAGUUAAAACACUUUCCUUUUUCACACCAGCCAUUACUGCAUAUUCUCUUUUUCCUUUUUCCUUUUUUUUUUUUCCCCUUUUCCUCUCCUGCUCCAGUUUCUAGAUAUGUCUCUGUCUCUCCCUUUAUGGUAGUCCGACAUAGCUCUCAUCACAAAUAGCUAGCCAGCCUUUAAUAUCCUUUGAAAUCCCCAGACAUAGACCAUAGCUAUUGCCAAAAUAGAUAGAUAGACUGCCAUGACAUAUUGCACUAUAUAAAUAAUGAGAACAUAUGAAUAAUAAGAACAAACAUUAAUCAUGUUUGUAACUAUACAAUGGACUGCAAAAAGAAGAGAGUUCCUUAGUGAGAUGUUUUUAAAAUAAGAAGUCAAUAAAUUUGUUAUCUAGAGCUCCAUAAUAGGUACCAGUGGAAGUUUUCGUGAUUUUUUUUUUUUUUUAAUUAUUUAUUUUUGAUAAAUUGUGAAAUAAUCCUCCAGUCCUCAGCCAGACAUUGGAUACUUGGUCUUUACAAUACUAAGGCUAAAGAGAAAGGCUAACCAGUGCGCAGUAACAUAGUGUUGCUCUCUCAGCUGGAUUUUUGUGGACCCUUGUGAGGCUGUGAUGGAUACACUUGACCUCCAGCCGUAGUUCAGGCUGACUAAGGAGCAACAGGCCUCACAACCUAUGGUGAACCUGCAAGCUGGGAAGCCCCUGGCUCACAUACAGGGUAAUGAAGGUGCUCAUGCCCCUUGGUGAACCUGCAACUUGGAAAGCUCAUGCACAAGGGAGUGAAGGUGCCUUGGAAAAAUAUUUCAAAAGGUGAUUUCAAAGCCCAGAAAUGUAAGAUAACUGAAGUACAGAACAAGAUACGAGCUCUAAAAUGAAGACAUGUGUCUUGUGUAUACUUCACUCUAUAAAUACCGCAAUCAGGAUGGGCCCAGG